CUGGAAAACAGCACUCUCUGAACCAGGGCAGAGUGUGGAUUUUCCCACUUUGCUGCAGAACCCCACUCUGCUGAAUUCCUGGAGGAAGCGAUGCAAAACCCAGCUGGAUGUGAGGGACCCAUCAGCACGAGCUCCUGAGCCAAAAUAGGAGCUGAAGCCCCAGAAAGUGGUGGGGUAGAGCUGUGAAUCCUAGCAACAGGCGGGGAAAGAACUGUACGUUUCUUCACGUCCUCCAAGUGUUGGUGCCUUCUGGUACAUCAUUGACAGGAAGAGACAGAGACCAUGGAAAGGCCCUCCUUGCUGAUGCAUCAAGAAAGGGCACAUUUUUCCAGUGGGACGGUCUGUUGCACAGGAGCUGCCGGCCAUGCUGUUCCAGUUCAGGGGCUCCUGCAACAGAAAAGAUCAGCUGUUGGAGAACCCAUGGAAAGCCCUGGGGGAGAGCCAUGGCCGCAAGAGGACCAGGCGAUUCCAGGCACAGCCCUAGCAGAUGGUUUUGGUGGUGGAAAGCACGAGGGGAUGGCUCCCAGGAGCUGCUCAGGCAGUCAAGUCAAAAAGGAAUGGAUGCAUGCAGCGUGCCACGGCCCCAGCCUGGACAGCUCCCAGUGCUCCCCUCUGUACAGGCAGCCUGUGCUGGCCCUGUUUAUACACCCAGCUUUCUCUGUGCCUCAUCCAAAAUCUGCUGGGAUUGGGGAGCAGCCCUUUCCUGAACUCCAGAGCAAACAGCGUGGGAAACCAGUGCAGCCACCCCUUUGUGAUCCUGCCCACUGCAGCAUCACCCCGAUGUCCCAGCACACGCUGGGCCAUGCAAACCUGAUCAUGCCAGAGACCAGGAGAUUAUUUCUUUUGAAUGGUUAAAUAUUCUAAUGUAAAACCUUCACCUUACACCCAUGGCAAAUAUUGCCAAAGUUGUGGAGUCAGGAAAGCAAGUCCAUAUUUUGUCAAUAUUAGCCUGAUAAAUAAAUUUGAGAAUUAAAUGCAUUCUGUGCUUAGCAAAUGAAAAUUAAUUUCUGAUACGUGAAAAUUGGCUUUCUUAACAACAUUUCCCUUGUUUUAGUGAGAUAAUCUAGAUCUAUAUUAGGAAAAACAAACAUUUUUUCAGAAGAAUUAUACAUAAUUUAUAGAGAGGCAGGUCUGAAUUAGCUCUAGCAUUGCCCAGAGCUUUCCUACAGUCCAUAGGUCUGGAUCUCAGCUGUGCUCAUAGAUCUGCUCCCUCCCUCUGAUGAAACCCUCUCCCAGAAACAGUUAAACACAAGAAGCCAGAAAUGAUCCAUAAAUUAGGUCUGGCUAUAGGUUCAAAAUCAUAAGUUAUGGCCUAUUGACCUCAUACUCUGAGGGGAAAUCAGAAGCAUUUUUCUAAAGAGCCACCACUGGAGGAAGGGAGGUUUAAUAUAUGGCACAGCAGAGCCCAGCUGCAAAUAAAUACAGCACUGCAUAAUUGCAGGGAAAAUCAAUAAAUACCAUGGUGGUUAAAAUAAAGAUAUGCAUAUUGAGGGUCCGGGCUUGUGUGUGUGAAAGGUUGUUUCCCCAGAAGCAGAAGAUGAUUUUUUUUUUUUCCCUGCAUUAAAGCCUCUGAAAACAACAAAGGCAACAGCUCCUGUGCUGCCCCUUUUGCAAGGAGCAAGUUUCAGCUAUUGUUUCCCUCGGAGCAGCUCUGUGGAGUCGUCAUUAUUAGCAUAAUUAAUAAGUGCAGUUUGCUCAUUUGAAAAAUUCCGGCGACAUUUGCCGCUCAGGCAUCGCGUCAGCGCGAGACACAAAAAAUCGCUGUGACAACUGUUCUGCAAGUUCAGCUUUUAUUGACGAGCACCACAAAGAGACGGAGCCCAGAGCUAGUCCCUUUUCACUUUAAUAUUUAAACCUCUUUUAAGAGGACGUCAAUAUUAACUCCCGUAAUUGAUGCUGACAGGUGACUGCCUGGCCAUAAAAAAGGCAAGCGAUAAAAUUCAAAAAAACCCUUAAAAAUAACAACCAGGACUUGCAGGUCAGUGCAGUGAAGGACACUGGGAUCAAGGGAUGAGGUUUCCUGCAUCCCUGGUGCAUCAAAGGGGACCUGGUGAUUCACCCAGGAGUGGAUGGGACCCUUUGGGCUCUGCUGAUUUUGUUCCCCCAGGUAAAUCCCUGGAUCUCCUGGAUGAGAAACUCAUCCUUGCUCAGCCUCCAGACCAGCCAGUGCUUUUAAUGAAUAAAUACCAAUUGUAACUAGUUAACCUCAGGAUUUCCAGCAUUAAAGAGAUUUCCCACAGGAGCCAGAGAGCACUAAAGGAAUGGAUAAAUGCAAAGUUCAUGGGGAAGGGACACAGCCUUUUGCAAAUUCCAGUAUGAGGGGAAAAUACCCAGGAAGUGUUAUGAGACAGGCUCCAAAAAUAGUUAUUUACUGAACAUAGCUUUCUGAUUUUCAUUGAUCUUAUUCUCAGAAAUGAGUGCAAUUUUUUUUCUGUUUAAAAUUUGGGUUAAAAGUAGUUAGAAAUUAGAACAACAUGGAACCAAGUUUUAAUGUAAAGUGCUUGAUGACCUGAGUAUUAUUAUUGUCUUUGCUCCAUGUACAAUCCAACCAGAAGGAAUGACACAGUAGAUAAUCUCUUCAUUUAUUUAAAUGGAGAUAUAAUUUUGCUGGCUUUGAGUUCUACUGAUAUGCAGAUCAUAGCAUGGGUCCAAAACUAGAGUGAAAAUGUUUUUAUUAAAGCUGAUAUAAAUAUUUUGAAUUUUGACUUUUUCUUAACUUUUUGAAAUUGAAGGCAGGGAAAGCACUAAAAUAUCCUGUAUGCAUUAAAAUUGUUCACAACAAGGAAAAUAUUUUAUUAAUAGAAAAUUGAUAUAUCUAAAAGAAGAGGCUUAAUAAAAAAAAUAUUGGUGAUAAUAUUGGCUGCAUAGACAGAGACUUUUCUGAAUAAACCCAAGGCACUCCAGUUAAGAUUUUUUAGGUACUUCCACUCUCACAUUCAUUCUUAAGCUAAAACCAGCAAAAUUCCUUCCCAGCACCCCUCUCCCAGCAAACAGCUCCUGCCCCACAGAUAUUUAACCAGGAUUCCCAGCCAGCCCUUUUCUUUAGAUCCUUCAUGUUUUUUCUCUGUGCUUUGGGGUUCUCCAGGCAGUGUUUCCUGCUUGCAGAGGAAGAUGCACAGCAGAAGAUUUGGGAUUAAAGAGACAAUAAAAUGUCCCAACCAUUGCUGUGUGGCAGAGAACAGGGCAGGGAUUUAGUAGUAACAACAGAAAACAGGAGAGCUUUGCAGCAAUUAAAGCUGAGCAAAACCCACCAAAUGCUGGAGAAAAUAUAGUGGGGGGAAAUCAUUGUGGUGCUACGAGUCUAAAACCAAAAAUCAAUGUUCUUAUUGUUCCCUGCUAGAGUCUCACAAGGAGGGAAGAGCUGUGCCCAAGACCCUGGAUGGCUGCAAAAUAAAGGAUUAGCAGUUAGAUCCUUAUCAAAAAUGGGACUGGGAAGCUUUUGUUUAAAAGGCCCACUUGAACCAAAGCUCUCCUGGCUGAUUGCUGCUGUUAGGAUUUGAAAUUGCUAUUACUGCAUAUAUAGUAUUUAAAAGAGAGAUGACCACUGACAGGAGCUAGCUGGCAGCAAACAAGUGUGCUUUAACUAAUCAUAUUAAUUUCUACAACAAGUGAUUCCAAGUUAAAGCUGUAUUUGUGUGCAGAUGUAUGUGUGUGUGCACACGUGUGCUAACAGGUUUCAUGUCAAGGAUAGAGGCUGCUGGUAAAAAUUUGGUGAAAAUGCCUCAGCUUCCUCUUAGAGGUUUUUUUUUUCCAU
Molecule: long non-coding RNA, 3754 nt
Organism: Motacilla alba alba
Lineage: Eukaryota; Metazoa; Chordata; Aves; Passeriformes; Motacillidae
Exons: 4
Source: RefSeq, a predicted model, not a curated record